This 11601-nucleotide long non-coding RNA is filed under the name Homo sapiens (human). RNAcentral's name for it is "HSALNT0301970". The stretch from base 2263 to 2331 matches the Rfam family "mir-147 microRNA precursor family", at positions 1 to 70 of the family's 78-position model. The record is from RNAcentral. Lineage: Eukaryota; Metazoa; Chordata; Mammalia; Primates; Hominidae.
CUCCGUCUCAAAAACAAACAAAUAAAACAUUUGAUGAUGUUUGUUUAUUGUGGUUUAUUCUUUUAAAUGAAUUUCUCUCCAAUCUGUUUUUUAGCUUUCUUGUAAGUAACAGAAUUUGGUAUUUUAUGUUCCAAAUUGUGCACUUGGCCCAGUUGUAGUGGUUAUGAUGAGGUGUGUGUGUGCGUGUGUGUUAACAUUGCAACAACAUAGGUAAGGUUCCUCCUAAAACUUGCUGGCUUGGGACCAGCCUUGAGUAGAGUUUAUGGCUACCUGUAUAAAAUGAAGUUAUUGAAAAUAAAAUGUAUAGAAACAAUUUUUUCUUUUAAAUGUAGGCUACUACACUUGUGGAUGUUUAUUAUUAAUCUUUCCCCCAUAAUGGAAGCAGUGUUUGGCUAUGGGCCAAAAUGAUUAACACAGUGGUACACAGUAAAUUGAAUAUUAGAGAGUCAAAAGCCAGGAAAAGCGUGGAAACAGAACUAUAUUUUGUGGUUCCCAGAGUGGUUUCUGCUUGUGAGUCUACUCUGGUAAGCUACAACUCCCUGUUAUUCACUUGUUUGUCUCUCUAAUUUUGGGGACAACAGUUUGCCCUGUGUCCUCAUCUCUCUUUUGCAUCCAAGAAGAGUUGUUGAUUUUGUACUCCACAUUUUUAUUUGUUGUCCAGACAAGAGUGGUGACCUCCAAGCUCCUUACACACAGAGCUAAAAACUAGAAGUUAGUUUAACUUUUUUCAUUGCCACGUUCAUAUGCUCAUGUUAUAAACAUUCUUACAUUCAGAAGAUAAAAAUAAAGAGAAUACACACUUCCCUUUUUCCAUACAUACACAAUACUUCCUCCCAUGGACUGUUCAUUAAUUCAGACUUCUGAAGUUUUCUUUAAUAUAUAUGCAAAUAUGUGACUAUCCUCUUGCUUUAUCUUGAAAAAUAUUCAUAGAAAAAUUAGUUGUCACAUUAAGAAAUUUUUGAUAAGAAUCCUUCUAAUAGCUAUUAGUUUUAAGUACUACAGAGAAUGACAUUAGAAAUAAUUUAGUUCAACUGUUUCAUUUUACCAUGAUGACACUUGAAUAGCAAAGGGGUUAAAUAUUGGUGCCAGUCAUAAAUGUGGUUAAUAAUGCAAUCCCUGUCUGUUGGCACGCAGGCUGAUGAUUUUCGUAGUUUUCUUCACUUCAUGGACGCAGGCUAUCUCAACCAAUCAGUAAAAUAAAACAUGGGACCCCACAGACUUUCAGGGUCUUAUGAAAAUUUUUUGAAAAUGUAGAUACUGAAAACAGUGUACUUGUGGUGUGUAUUUAUGCCCAUUUCCUAAAUUUUGAUGUUCUCAGAGUUUUAUCUUAUCUUUUUGAAACCAGUGCAAUUUAUCUAAAAUGUAAUGGUUUCUGGAAAUGUUCCUUUUUAAAUACAUUAAGAUAACGAAACCACUCACCAGAUUGAUGAUAGAGAUUAUUCCCAGUAGAAAUAGGGUAGGAGUGGGGGUUAGUAGUGAGUGUGUGUAUUGAAUAAUUAGGGCAUUGAUGAGUCAGUAAAACUGAUCAUUGGAAUCUCGUGAAAUGAAGUUUUUUUUCAGUAAAUUUCCCUAGAUUUAUCAGUCAUUAGAGUAGUAUGCUCAAGAGGUAAUUUAGACUGUUCUGCCUUCAUUAAGCAUUUUUUUUUAAUAGCAAGUGAUCCUUCUUGAAAUGACCUUCUCAGGUGAGGAGAAGAUUGUAGUUAUAGCAUCAUUAACAAUGCUUUUCUCUUCAGAAAAAAAUGUUUUGCAUGCAUGGAAGUUAAAUGUAAUUUUUAAAACAUUCAUCUUGCUCUAGAGGCAAACAGCAGAAAUUAAUUUCUCAUUUUUAUAUAGCUAAAAAUACCACAGAGCAUGGAAAAAUGGAUUUCUUUAACUGAAAGGAAAAAAAUUUGUAUGAGCAUGAAAUACCAAGAUGGUUUGAGAAUUCAUAAAAUGGUCCUGCCUUGAGCAUUAACAUCUUUCUUGGGCCUAGUCUAAUCUAUGAGAUGUGACAUGAUGCCCUUAGGUCAUUGUGAAUUCAUCCUAAUUCUUGAUUAAAAAGAAGAAACUUAUUCUCAUGGGUGCGAUCAUGACUUUUGCAACAAAUGCAACAUUGUCUUUUGCUGUUUAUUCCCUUCAAAAAUCCAGUGUGUUCAUUAAUCAAAACAUACAUAUUCUGAAGAAACCGAUUACACAACCCCCUAAAGGAAAGCCCUUUAAAGAAAUGCAGAGAUCCAAAGUGCCGAAGGACAAAUUGUCACUUCUUUCAAGUAGUACUUUAUGUAUUUCGUGGAUGAUUUCUACACAGACUAGGCCAUAGAAACCAGUGCGUAGAAAUGCUUCUGUUACAUGUUUAGGAUCUAUCUAUGUUUUUUGACGAUGAAUGAGAAAUUCUGGUUUGCUUUCAGAGUGGUACAGCAAUAUCCAUGUGGUCCAGAAAUAAGAUUCCAUGCUAAUUUUCUUGUUAUAAAUUUUGAAUUUUGCGUACUGAGAUUUUUUUGUCUAUGAAUUCUUUUAUAGCACCUGAAUGUUUUCCUUGAAAUGUAUAAAAUUUACACAUUUAGAUUUUCUGCAUUAAAAUGCCAUUGUGCAAGCUUUCUUACAAAAUAAAAAACAGAAAUCUACUAGCCCAUAAAAUGUUUAUCACCCUGACAUGUGUCAAAAGGAUAUAUUUGAUGGCUGUGAACCUGAGGAAGUACAGCAUUUUGCCUGUGCUGUGUCUCAUGUUUCAUCUUUAUUACGAUGAGAUGAGAUGGUUUCAUUUCAGUUAAUCCUAUUUCUUUUAGGACCUACAUCUAUGUUAAUUGUCAUGGCUAAUUAGCCUUACAGUAAAAGUAGGCAAACCAACAAAAGAAAUGCCCUUUCAAAGACAUGCUUUUUGACAAUGCAUUUUACUAUGCAGUAAUGUGGUUGGAAAGCAAAACAGUCUACUAACCAUUAAGUUCUUGUUUUAGAAUAGUCACAUAUUUUGUCAUUACUCAGUUUCUCAAACAUUGUGUAUGUCAUACAAGACAGGUUUUUAUUUGUCAGCAUUUAAUGUUGUUAGAAAAUAACCACAUCACAAGAGUUUACAUGUAAAAUAAAUUCUACUUUAAUAAGACUCUGAAUAAUAAUAAAAUUUAAAAAGCAAGAGUUGAAGUCAGCAUAAACAAUAUUUAGUGGACAAGUUCAUGCCCUGAGUAGCCUUUUCUGGGAUAGACAGUGUUCUUUUUCUUUUGUCCUAUAUUAUAAGGAGCAAAACAUCUGCAUGAAUAAUAAAUUACAUGUAUGUAUGCUGGAGUAAUUAGGACAGCAAUCUCACAAACUGCAUUAGGCUAGUAUUGUCCUUGACCCAGAGUCCUUAUGUGUGUAUGAAAACUUCAGUUGUGUAAGGUACAAUUAGAAAUGAAAGGUUUUUCUUUCUUUUGAGGUGGGAGGUGACAACCACUACAUUUAUUCUUUCUUUAGUUAUUUCUUCAACAUAUUUUUGUUGAGUGCUACCAGGCUAAGGUACAGAGGUGAACAACUCAGAAGCACUUUCUGUCAUCAUGGAGCUUGCAGACUACCAGGGUGAGAAUGGAGGACUAAAGAUAGGCAAAAAUGCAUAAUGCAUCACCUAGAGAACAUAACCCAAAAUGACUGAACCAGCAACUUAACACCGCUGCUAUCUUCAGUUAAGUACAUGCCAAGUAAGAUGAGAAAAGGCCUACAACAUCUCAUGGACAAGCUUUGGAGAGCAAAUAGGUUUUAAACGUGACCAUUCCAUGAAAGUCCCCAUCUAUAACCUCCAAAUGCAAGAGGGAACUAUGAGGUACCACUAUCAUGUCUCACAACACGAACCCAAGAAAUGAAAGCUAAUAAGAAAUCUCCCAAACCUGAGGGAGAACCAGGGAACAAAACUUGCAAGAGCACUAGAGCAGUGGCCUGAAUCCCGAGUUGUCUCUGGGUGCACCUGCCACUAUUGCAAUUCUUACUCUACUUACCAUCAAUUACUUCUGAAGACCAGCUACAUGUCAGGCAUUAUAAACAUAUCAUCUCUUUUAACCUUUAAAGAAUCCAUUUAGGAAAGGAGGAAACUGGGUCUCAGGAAGAUUAAGUGAUUCUCUUAAUGCCACAAAGCUAGUAAAGGAUCGGGCAACCACCGUGUCUCUGUCUCCGUAGAUUAUCAUGUCAUAAUUACCACAGGCUUACUCAGUUGGAGGAAGGAAAAUGGGACAUUAUUAGCAAGAUUUUUUUUUCCAUAGCAUGGUCUUGAAGACCUCUUACUGUGUUUUCUGAAGUGUUUUUCUUUCAAAAAAAAAUUUGUUAAACAAUUACACUUAAACGCAACAGUACAGCUGGCUUACUUUAAUGAAAGAAAAUAUAACAGGAAGUACAUUUUCUUCUCUUAAACUCAGGUAUUUUAAUAGUUGAGUUUUCUAAAAGUAAUUGUUAUACUAGUCUGUAAAAAAGAAUGAGUCAUUUAAGCAGCACAUUUUUUUAAAAAAGGUCGUUAUAAAUGGGCGCACAAUAUCACGUACAAUGAGUUUAUAGUGAACAUUUUUGUGUUCAGGCUGAAAAGGCUUCUUGCAAAGGCAAACAAUUCAGCAUUGACUUCUCUUUAAAUCUGCCUUUGGAGCUAUCACACAAACACUGUGGUGAGAACUCUGUUUCUGUUACUUACCAAGGCUUAAUGAAGCUUACUGCCAGGCACAUUUUGAAUAGAUCUACAUUGUGGCAGCUUCAAAGAAGGAGCCUUUGGUGUUAUAUUUCCUAAAGCUGAUGUUCUUGACCACAACGUGGUCAUUUUUGAGAUAAUGUGAUAAUCUGGCAGGUUCCCCAGGAGGACCAGUUAUUUUACUCAGACUCAUCAUAUUCUUCUCAACGCCUCUGCCUACUCUCUUGAUAUCUUAUAGAUAGAUGAUAACUAUCAUGGUGUAGACGGUUAAUGUAACUUUUCAACUAAUUAUGUGGGUAUUUUCCAGUCUUAGCACAGCAUUUUUUUUAACCUCAAGUUCUUCUUUUGAAGGCUUUGAAUAUGACCUUGAAGUGUCUUGAGAGAAAAAAAGACAGUAAUGCUUAGCUUCUGUUUUGUUUUCUUUUCUCCAAUGAAAAGAAUGGCUUUCAUACUGUAAAUGGUAGAAUAAACAUGACUGAGGGACAUCAAGGCACAAGAGAGAUGGAGCAGUGGUAAGAAAGCACCCACACCUAGAUUGUCAAUAAUGGCUAGUCUGUAAGCACAAGUGGAAGUGGAUUGCAUCUAUGGGUAGUGAAACAACAGUUGAUAUGAUUGGGAAACAAUUUUAGUGGUUUUACAAAGAUCACACAUUGGAGCAGUACAGGAGAUUGUAGAUUGGGUCAGCUUUGAUUCUUCCCAAAGCAGAUUCAGAGAUCAAAAUUUGGGUGCAAGUAGGUUUUUGGGAAGUGAUCCCAGAAAGCACAAGGUGGGAAUGAAGAAAUGAGCCUGGAAGGGAGGAAAGCAAAUGAAGCUGCAUCAAUUAGUGAAUUAUUCCUAUUGGAAGUUUGGCUCAUUUCAUCUAAGGUCCUUCUGAGAGACUAUAGAAUAUGUCUCAAAAUUGUCUCACAGAGGGAGAGUCAGCAGGGGUGCCUAUUGACCAAACUGAAUUCCUCAUUAGGAUGCCCUGGGAAAAAUCCUGGCCUGCUGACGUGUCUAGCAGGCUCCCUUGUGUCAGAGAAUGCCCUCUGGCAGAUAUGACAGAAGCGUGUGCAGGGACUAGGCAGUGACCUUCAGGGAAGGCUGAGGUGAUAUGGGUGGGGGUUCUGACUGCACCUGCCACAGAGUAAUAAAAGUGAACCUAAUUUUCAGAUAUGGAGAAAAUGUAAACUGUAGAACCUUUAUAUUCACGAAGUGAAUUUUAAUUUCCAGAAAAAAAGCCUAUUUUUUAAAUGUUAGGAAGAAAGCAAUCAACGAGUACACACAUACCAAAAAAAUGUCAAUAUAGCCUCAUUUAAGAAAAACACAUUAUUAGAGUUGUUUAUCAGAAACUUUGAUUUUAGAAGCACAUGUAAUCAACAUUUUUUCUAUAUCUUGUAGAUUAAAUGAAUGAAGCUGCAGAUAGGCAAAUUUAUAGGUAAUUGCUCAACAGGAUCUAGCAUGUUGAUGAAUGAUUACUUGUCAUUCAAAUUAAGUGUGUCUAGUCCUUUAAAGCCAAUUCAUUUUCUUUUGAAAAAUAUGAAAAUAUCUCAUACCCUUGCAUGGAUUUUGAUGUGUUACUUUAGUGGGGCCAUGUCUUCCCUCUUGGCUAUGAGUGUCUGUGGCCCACACGAAGGUUUAUAAUAGUAUCCUCAAAAGCUCUGUCCUGUCCUGUUUAUUUUUAUAAACGCUAUGGAUGAAGACAGGGAAGGCAAGUCUGUAAAUUUUCCAUCAGGGAUAAAUAGCUACUGUGGUAGGUGACACAGAUGGGUUCAGUAAAGCUCUCAACAGCCUGGAAUGAUUAACUGAAAUUAAUGAUUGGUUUUAUUAGGGUAGAAAUAUAAGCUCUUGCAUAUAGGUUAAAAAAAUAUGCCAGCUUUGAGACGAGGAGUACUUGGUUUACAAUAGUGUAUAAAGAAAAAUCUAGGGCUUUUAGUUCAUUGCAAGCUUAAAACAAGCCAAUUUAUUUAAGGGGCCAGAAACCCUAAAGCAAUUUCAGACUGAAGAUGUAAAAUCAUAUGUCCAGAACAACGAGGUUCUACUCUAUGUCUUACUAUUCAAUUGUAUUUAGUGGAUUGUGCUCCAUCCUGAAAGAUUAGCAUUUUAAGAAUCAGUGAGAAUAUUAGAGACCAUUUAGAUUCAUGCUUCUUUGCCUGGGUGCAUGUGCUCAUGGUAGUAUGCAAGGUAUGCCAGGUGUACCAGGAGACAUAGGAUAAAUAUGUCAAAACUUCCAUGAACACCGAUUUUGCUUGAGUAUUCAAGGAGGGAAAGCGGAUUAAAGUUACUAACAGGUUGAAUAGUUGGAAACUAUUGAAAAACAGUUUCAAAGUUAAAACACAUAUUAUAUUAUAAAGUAGAAUACAAAGACCAUAUAAAGUUCUAUGUUAAAAUAUGAGACUUCUGAAAAAUCUCCACUUGCAGAUGGUAAUUUUGAAAAUUGCUUUCAGAACUCUGGAAAUCAUGGGUUCUGUCUCUUCUGCAGGUACUUUAAUUCAACAAAUAUUUACUGAGUAUCUAGUCAGUGCUAGGCACUGGGCUAAGUGCUUGGGAUAUAUCAGUGAACAAAACUAAUACAGAGUCCUGGCUUCAUGGGAACUCAUAUUAUGAGUAGAAAAGUUCAAGAAGCACACCUUAUCCUUAAUUUUACAGAUGAAAAGGUGAGAAGGCAUAUAGCUAGUCCUAAGUUCUAUUCCUAGUUCAAUUGCUUGCUAACUGUAUAGUCUUGGGCAAUUAUUUCAUUUCUUUAAGACUCAGGUUUCUCAUCUGCACAGUAGUAGAGCAAGACCUAUCUAUUUCAUUAAUGGGAGUAGUAGAUGAGAUAACAUGGGCAAAGUAUUUAGGGAAGUGCCUGAUACAGAGUACACAUUCAACCGUUCAAUAAAUUAUGAUUAUUGUCAGAGAGGUCCAGUGACUUGCCUAAAUUCACACAGUUGCAGAACAACAGAUUUGUACUAAAACUCAGGUAUUCUGAUUCCCAUUUCUGAGCUCCUUGUAUGACAGUGUAAUCCUGGGUAUCAUACCUCAGAAAAUAAACAAGGCUUAUUUGUACUUUUUUCAUUACUAAAGUAAUUCAUGUGCGUUUGAAAAUUAGGAAAAUGCACAUAUGCAGAAAGUGAAACAAUAAAACAACAAAUGAAAAACAUUCAGCACAACCCUUCACAACAGUUUAAUUAAAAUUUUGGCACAAUCUAUCAGCCCUCUUUUUAAUAUAUAGUUUUGUUUUUAGCAGAGCUAUAUUCUAUCUAUUUGGAUUUCUAUUUUGAUUUUUUUGUACAUUUAUUAUUAAUAUAUAUACUUUCCCUUAUGUAAUAAGGAAGGUUUUUAUUCGUUCAAUAACAGCAUCCCAGUCUGUUGGGAGUAUGACAAUUUUUUAACCACUUUCUCCAUAGUCGACACUUAUGCUGUGCUAAUGAACAUCUGCGUCUGACUAGCUUUAUGGCCGUAUGAGUGCCUGUCUUCCCAACAGGCAAGGCCCAGGCUCUUGCAGAACAUGGUUCUGCCUUAUAUAUUGGUGCUUCAGGAAACUCAGGCCUGAUCCUUUAAUUCACCCUUUAAAACUUGCAUAAUCACUCAUGCUUUUCCCAGGCAAAGAUCUUUCUUUUGGGAUGUGUUUUUUUUUUUUAACCUGAUCCCCCUUUUCUUGGAAGUUUCUCUGGAUAGCCCCUUUGGCUCCCAAAUCACCUCCAUUCUACGAUAUUCUGUCUUGAUCUCCUUUGCUCCUCACUUCACAAUCACAGAUCUAUCGUGUCUAUCCUGGUUCUCUUGCUUCUCACGGGAUCCGUUGGUGGAGUGGCUGAAUGAGUGUUUAAUGUUAAUGUUUUAUAUGUUUGUGUGUAUGUGUGUGUGUGUGUCUGUAUGUACAUUUAUGUGUGCAUGUUGAACUGUAGUUUCAGACUAUAGUCCUGAAAAAUUCUAGAACACUUUGAGCUUUAUGGAUUGUUAGACUAUGCAAGAAAUUAUCUGUGUGAGUUGUGUUUGGGUUAGGUAUUAAAAAUAUAUAUUGCUAGAGGUGUUUGUUGGAGGAAGUUUUAUACAAUGGAAAAACAUGCCCUACCAUGCGGAUACAUACUGUACACAAAAAGAUGAUCAAUCCAGAUCUUCGCUAAUACAAAGAAAAUAUGACCCAUAGCACUUGACUCUGUAGGUCAGAAAUUGAAACAGAUAUUCCCAUAAAACUCUGGAGAAUGAUGAAGGCCUCGGGGAAGCAAGUCUACACUGUUUCUCUUUCCAGUGCUUUCUCGAAUAAGUGUAAAACAUUAGUGAGGCUUCAUCUGAAGGUCAGAAAGUUUACACAGUUGGAGUUAUAUGAGUAUCAGGCUUUCUGAAUUAAGAUUCAGAAUUCAUAUCUAAAAUUUGAGGCUGUGCACUGUUCCACAUGACUGAUUUUUUUUCUGAUACAUAAGAUAUUAUUUUCCAGUAUAAUUAAUGUCAAUCUACUGACAUCAGUGAAAUGCACAUGAAAUUCUAAAUGAAUGUGCCAUUAGAUGUAACUCUUAGUUGUUACCUAAAGUCAGGGAGCAACACCAAAAACAGAAAUAACCUUCCUUUAUACCAGGAACUGUCAAUACAGCAUAUUUUUAACAUGAUGAGCUGUAGAGGGAAAAUAUUCGUGUAUUCUUCAAGAUCAAAUGUUCAUAAAUCUGGAGACCAAGAAUUAUUCACAUUUUGAGUUUUUGUAGAAUUCUGCUAAGUAAGGUAUUAGAGUACUCCAUGAUCACUCAGCAAACUAGUACUGGUAUUGAUUUCUAAUUUUGUCCAAUUUCCUUUAAAACUUUCUCUUUGAUAUUUUUGUAGCUCUAGCACCCUUGAACACAUGAUUGAGGUAGUUUUGGCCUCACAGAUGGAACAGCUUGAUGCUUGCUCAAAAAGUGGACUCUUUAGUAUGGUUAUUUGGAUGAUGGUUUUGAUUCGGAGAGUCAAAAGCCAUGGUAUGUGAGGGGAGUGCAUUCUUCAUGAAGAGAGGCCAUCUUCUGCAUUCUCCUUCCUGUGGCUGAAGAGUGGGGCACUCAACUUGUUGCUUUCUGUCAAGGCUACAAGCCAGGAUACUACACUUAAUUGACAUAUCUUCUUAAACGCCUCUGAUUUGUGACGGUUUCUCAGUCUUUCCUGCUUUUCAUGACCUUGAUGCCUUUGAAGAGAAGUGGUGAGAUGUUUUUCAGAUUUUCUCUCAGUUGUCUCAACUGUGAUUUGUCUGAUGUUUUUCUCAUCAUUAGGCAGGUGUGAUGCGUUUCACAGAACAACACUACAGAGGUUUAGUGCCAUUCUCAUCUUAUUGUAUCAGGAGGUACAUGAUAGCAACAAGAUUCAUUGCUGGUGAUCUUAACCAUAAUUACUUGGUUAAGGCAAUGUUUUCCAGGUUUCUCAAACACCCUGACAACAAAGCCUAUCUUCUUAGCUGUUUAUCUGAGACUUGAAUCUUCUAAUUUCUUACCUUAGGAAUUCUCCAUUUAGUCAUUUAGUAGAAAGUGAGUAAUAUAGAAUUUUCUUCCUAGACAAAUCGUUCUGAUGACAGGAGAGGGAUGGGCUUACUCUCUGUGCUACCUUGGUUUACUGGAAACAUGGUCACUUGAUUCAUUCCUGACUCCUAUCAAUUCCUCCUGUGCCCAAUAAUCCAUUUUGGUUCAUUCUCUGAAGAAAAGAAUGCAAUCAAAAUCUAAUUCUCACAAUAUCACUUGGAUGUCUAAAAAUACUGAGUUAAAGAGAUAGUAGAAUUUGAUUAUAUAAAAAAAUUUGUACACCAAAGUGUUAAUUUCCUUAAUAGAGAACUACUAUAAAUAUUUAAGAAAAAAUGGGCAAAUGGUAUGUUCAGAUAAUUUAUAGCAAAGAAAAUAUAAAUAAUGUCAAAUAUUUAAAAUGAUGCCAGUUUUCUCUUAAUAAGAUAAAUAUAAUCAAAAUUAUCAUGUGAUCACAUUUAAAAAUUAUUGGGGUAGCAAAGACCAGAAUGCUUGAUUACAAACUAUGUUGGCAAUGGUCUGGGAAAACAAACACUUCUCAUUGUUUCUGGGAAGGUAAAUCGGUAAACUCAGUACUGAGAGCAAUUGUACGUUGUCUCUCAUAAAUAGAAAUGCACUUUUUGAAUCCUUCAAGUCCACUUCUACAUUAGAACCUUAAUGUAUAUAAUAAACAGUAUAGAUAUGCCAGCAUAUGCAUAAAGUAAUUUAUGUAUAAGAAUAAUUUUUGUAGCAAGAGAUCAGUUAAAUAAAUUGUUGCAACAGCACAAAAUGAAAAGCUAAGCAGCUUUAUGUGUACCAGUAAGAAAACAUCUCCAGGAUAUUUCUUAAAGUUAAAAAUGAAAACAAAACCAAAAAGGAUAGAAUGGCAUGUAAGAUAGUUUACUGUUCGAAUUGGAAGUUAAGACUACCAUCUGGCCAAUCUGGGCUCCUCAUGCCUCUGAAUCAACAGGAAAAGAAGAGUUACUGUGCUGGGUAGGUUGAUUGAUCUGAAUACCAAGGGGAAAUUUGACUACUGCUCCACAACACUGGUAAGAAAGAGUAGGUCUGGAAUACAGAAGACACCUUAAGAUGUCUCUUAGUUUUACCAUGUCCUGUGAUUAAGGUCAAUGGGAAACUACAACAAUGCAAUCCAGUAAUGACUAUGAAUGACCAAAAUCCUUCAGAAAUGAAAGUUUGGAUCACUCCACGAUAUAAAGAAGCAUGACCAACUGAGGUGCUUGCUGAAGACAAAAGGAAUACAGAAUGGGUGAUGGAAGAAGGGAGUUAUAAAUACCAGUUACAACCACAUGAUCAUUUACAGAAAUGAGGAUUUUAAUUCCCAUGAGUAUUUACUCUUUAUUUUGCUAGGAAUAUAUCAGUAUAUAUAUGCAUAUAUAUGCACAUAUUUAUUUAUAGAGAUGUACUCCUUUCUUUUAUUUCCUUAUUAUGUUACAUUAUUGACUCUCUUUGGUCUCCAGCUUUCUGAUUGCAUAUCUUGGGAUUUGUCAUAAUGAAGCAAACGAAUUCCUUAUAAUAAAUCUGUUUCUAAUAUAUAUAUCCUAUUGGUCUAUAUGUUGG